GACGGAGGAUGCAAGCGUUAUCCGGAAUGAUUGGGCGUAAAGCGUCCGCAGGCGGCCGUUCAAGUCUGCUGUCAAAGACCGGGGCUUAACUUCGGAAAGGCAGUGGAAACUGAACAGCUAGAGUAUGGUAGGGGCAGAGGGAAUUCCUGGUGUAGCGGUGAAAUGCGUAGAUAUCAGGAAGAACAUCGGUGGCGAAGGCGCUCUGCUGGACCAUAACUGACACUCAGGGACGAAAGCUAGGGGAGCGAAUGGG
Molecule: ribosomal RNA, 253 nt
Filed under: uncultured bacterium
Lineage: Bacteria
Description: partial 16S ribosomal RNA
Rfam family: Bacterial small subunit ribosomal RNA
Source: RNAcentral